CCUACGGGUGGCAGCAGUGAGGAAUAUUGGUCAAUGGACGAGAGUCUGAACCAGCCAAGUCGCGUGAAGGAUGACUGCUCUAUGGGUUGUAAACUUCUUUUAUAAAGGAAUAAAGCGUGGGACGUGUGCUUUUUUGCAUGUACUUUAUGAAUAAGGAUCGGCUAACUCCGUGCCAGCAGCCGCGGUAAUACGGAGGAUCCGAGCGUUAUCCGGAUUUAUUGGGUUUAAAGGGUGCGUAGGCGGGUUGUUAAGUCAGCUGUGAAAGUCUGUGGCUCAACCGUAAAAUUGCAGUUGAUACUGGCAGGCUUGAGUACAGUUGAGGCAGGCGGAAUGCGUGGUGUAGCGGUGAAAUGCUUAGAUAUCACGCAGAACCCCGAUUGCGAAGGCAGCUUACUAAGCCAUGACUGACAUUGAUGCUCGAAAGUGUGGGGAUCAAACAGGAUUAGAUACCCGUGUAGUC
This 460-nucleotide ribosomal RNA is filed under the name uncultured bacterium. RNAcentral describes it as "partial 16S ribosomal RNA". It matches the Rfam family "Bacterial small subunit ribosomal RNA", at positions 338 to 795 of the family's 1533-position model. The record is from RNAcentral.